RNAcentral lists this long non-coding RNA (629 nucleotides) under Mus spicilegus (steppe mouse). RNAcentral describes it as "lncRNA (ENSMSIG00000021092.1)". The record is from RNAcentral. Lineage: Eukaryota; Metazoa; Chordata; Mammalia; Rodentia; Muridae.
UUGCAUAUAGUCCUUGUUGGAAUAGAAGGUACAGGAAAAAAACAAACAAACAAAAACAAAAACCAACAACAAACCCAAAACUAUAAAGUCUUGGAAUUAAGAUCAGGAGUAGUGGGUAAGUAGGUGUGCAUUGAGUUGAUCUAAAUGAAGAGGUGACACUUCUUGGCCUGAGGUUCCUGGUUCUUCUCUGACACUUCAGCCCAUUUCUCUUAGGUCCUCUGCAACCCAGCUGAAGAAUGAAGGCACCGUAGAGCAAAGAAAGGUCUAGGAUGCUGAAAAGAGAGCAGAUCCCGAUCCUUGAGAUUUGAAGAACAAGUGGCCGGUCUCUUUGGCUCCAUCAUCACUUUCCAAAUCUACCUGGCAGGGAGGCUCUAGAGGCUUACAACUGUCUGACCAGCAAACACAGGGUCCAGAGGUGAAUCUCUGCUUUAAGUGGUCAGAGAAGAUGAGCGAGAAGAGUUGGUGUAUCUGUACCCUGCCUCUGACAUCAACCACAUAUAGAGCCUGGAGGUAGUGGAGCAUUCACCGGACCUGACCUCAACUGGACAGAAGAAUGUGGUGGGCUGCUGGUGGUCAACACCGUUUUUCGCUUCCCUCACCCUUCCAGCCUAAUUCAGUGAGGACCAGAG